RNAcentral lists this microRNA precursor (114 nucleotides) under Malus domestica (apple). RNAcentral's name for it is "miR10999a stem-loop (mdm-MIR10999a)". The record is from miRBase by way of RNAcentral. Lineage: Eukaryota; Viridiplantae; Streptophyta; Magnoliopsida; Rosales; Rosaceae.
AUACACUAUAGGGGCGUGAUAUUCACACACCUCAUUUUACAUUUUACUUUUCACACAACAAGAGCUGUGUAAGAAGUAAAAUGGGGUGUGUGGAUAUCACACCCCUACACUAUA